RNAcentral lists this long non-coding RNA (228 nucleotides) under Elaeis guineensis (African oil palm). RNAcentral's name for it is "long non-coding RNA (EGUI_LNC081567)". The record is from RNAcentral. Lineage: Eukaryota; Viridiplantae; Streptophyta; Magnoliopsida; Arecales; Arecaceae.
GGGUAACUCAUCCGCUCUCUUCUUUUCUUUGUCUUCUUUACUUAGAUUACAACCAGCAUCAGUACCAGUUUUGGGCUUAGGUUCUUCCAUUGGUUAGUCUCAAUACUAACCUCUUCCUCCAAGUUCUCAUUUUGGCUAGCAUCAGUACUAGCCUCUCUCACCUGGUCUUGAUAUGGGUCCUUAAGAAUCCAACCAUUUCUAAACUCAAAAAUUACUUUGACAUUCUCA